UGCUUCUGUGUUAUGUUUAGUCUUCUCUUGCAUUACUUUUUUUUGUGACUGCUGGAAUCCUGUACAGCUUAAUAUCCUAACGUAUAGUUUGGAAUGGUGUCUCUUUCAAAAUUAUGGAAUUGAAAAUUCUCUCCAUUUGAUUAUAACAUUGACAACAGGAUGUUGAAGGUCGAAGGAUUAGAUUCCCUUUCUAUACCGAUGAUAAACAUAGUUUAAAGGCCCACUGUAAAUUAACUGUUCUGUCAUAGCCUUACCUUAUCAACCUCCUGCUUUACUUAUUUGAAAUUACCUGACAAUGGUACCUGCAUACCUAAUCAAAGUUUGUGAUUUUUUUUUUGGCCUUGAUACGGAGGCUCGUGGAGAGCCUGUGCCAAGUCUGAAGUCUUGUGCCAAAAUUUUCUCGUGCC
RNAcentral lists this long non-coding RNA (407 nucleotides) under Gallus gallus (chicken). Lineage: Eukaryota; Metazoa; Chordata; Aves; Galliformes; Phasianidae. The record is from RNAcentral.